GACAGCCCUUCCCAUUGGCUUAUCUUCACUUCCUCGAUAAGAUGCGCUUAAAUCCCUUCCUGAAGGGCCCCCAGCUAGGAAGUAGCUGAGCCGGCCUCAAACUGGAGACUCCCUCCAGAGCUCAGACUUGGGGUGCAGAGGUUAUUUUUUUUAUUAAUCAUAAAAACCCCAAAUUGCUUGCAUAUCAGGAGGUCCUAGAGGAGCAGCAGAGCAUGUGGCUGAGUGCCUGGGCCGUGGGCUAGACUGGCUGGACGGGAUCCUCCGGUGUGUCACACUGCCUGUCCCUGUCUAGUUACGGGGAACACAGCAAGCUUCCCUCAUAGGAAUAGGAGGCGAUCAUUUGGGUUAAAAACAUUCACAGGGCUGUAGAAUGGCGCCCUACAUAGCACAACAGUCACUGAAAAACCUUUUCACUUGAUGCAUCUCGAUGCAGAAGUCCAAGGUCAAAUUGAAGUCCUGUGUCUGAGACCCAGCACUCGCCAGCACGAAGCUUCUGUAACCCAGGAACCCCACGGCUGACUGAGGUGACUCUGAGUUGUAUCGUGUGGGGACGUGCUCAGUAGCUGUUGGAUCUGAUCUGCAAACAUACGUGACACGACAAGAGAGGAGAGAAUGGAGAGUCAACCCUUCUUGCUGUGCUUCCGUUCCGUGUCAGAGCCCCACGUUUCUGAGCACACCGUGAUCGCUCGUGAACAGGACUUCCAGGAGGUUUACUUAUUUAUUUGAGAUGAGGGGAGAGGCGGACGGAGAAGGAGGGAGAACUCAAGCAGACUUCCCGCUGAGAGAGUGGAGCCCCACUCAGGGCUCCAUCUCACGACCCUGAGAUCAUGACCUGAGCUGAAACCAGGAGUCCA
This 854-nucleotide long non-coding RNA is filed under the name Mustela putorius furo (domestic ferret). RNAcentral's name for it is "lncRNA (ENSMPUG00000025593.1)". The record is from RNAcentral. Lineage: Eukaryota; Metazoa; Chordata; Mammalia; Carnivora; Mustelidae.